Molecule: ribosomal RNA, 406 nt
Filed under: uncultured bacterium
Lineage: Bacteria
Description: partial 16S ribosomal RNA
Rfam family: Bacterial small subunit ribosomal RNA
Source: RNAcentral
AUUGAACGCUGGCGGCAGGCCUAACACAUGCAAGUCGAACGAGUGGCGGACGGGUGAGUAAUGUCUGGGAAACCGCCCGAUGGAGGGGGAUAACUACUGGAAACGGUAGCUAAUACCGCAUACCAUCGGAUGUGCCCAGAUGGGAUUAGCUAGUAGGUGGGGUAACGGCUCACCUAGGCGACGACCCCUAGCUGGUCUGAGAGGAUGACCAGCCAGACAGGAACUGAGGCACGGUCCAGACACCUACGGGAGGCAGCAGGGGGGAAUAUUGCACAAUGGGCGCAAGCCUGAUGGAGCCAUGACGCGUGUAUGAAGAAGGCCUUGGGGUUGUAAGGUACUGUAAGCGAGGAGGCGUUACUCGAAGAAGAAGCACCGGCUAACUCCGUGCCAGCAGCCGCGGUAAUAC